RNAcentral lists this long non-coding RNA (2248 nucleotides) under Lepisosteus oculatus (spotted gar). Its description in RNAcentral is "lncRNA (ENSLOCG00000022973.1)". The record is from RNAcentral. Lineage: Eukaryota; Metazoa; Chordata; Actinopteri; Semionotiformes; Lepisosteidae.
UGUGAUUGUAAAGAAUUAACUUUCCAUAAAUCUGAUGAUGACAGAGUGUUAAUGUGAAGAUACAGAGGAGCUGGACUGAGUGUCUCUACAGAUCUGAGGAGGAUGAUGAUGGUGGUUAUGGUCAUGGUGAUGAUGCUGAUAGUGAUGCCAAUGAUAGUGAUGAUGGUGAUAGAGAUGAAGAUGAUGGUGAUGAUAGUGAUGACAAUGAUGAUGGUGAUGGUGAUAGUGAUGAUGGUGGUGAUUGAUGAUGCUCAUGAUAGUGAUGAUAGUGGUGAUGGUGAUGGUGACAGUGUGUCAGCAAGUCGGAUGUGUUUGUGAUGCUUGUUUUGUGUUUGUCUUUCUCUGUACAGAGGCAGACGGUGUGUCUUUCAGCCCCAGUUCUUCUGCGACCAGCCAUCCAGACGUGCUGCUGUGCUUCGUGGUGUCUUGGCCAGCUUUGUGCUGUUGUGUGCUGCGUAGUUGUGUACCUUCAAGUGUGUGUGUUGCACAGUGUAGCUCUCUUGUGCGGCGGUGCUUUGCUGUGUGGUGCUGCCCCUGUUGUGUUGUGUCUGGUUGUGUAGCUCCUGUGCUGUGUUGUGUAGAGAUGGACAAGUCUGCGGGGCUCCUGAGCUCCCUAUCCUGCCUGACCCAGACCUCCUCCCCGAAACAGCACAAACAGCCUCCUGCACCCCAUACCCGGGGUUUUGGGGUCCCAGUGACAGUAGAGAGCUCAGUCCCCUUCUUGAGUGGGGGGUCAUACUCCCUGGGACCCCUAUACCCCCAUCCUGGCCCCCAAGACUACCUGUCCUUCCCUCCGGCUCACCCCCCUGGCCACUCUGGUUUCCGACACCCCACGCUGGGGGGGUUCCCAGCCCUGCCCCCGUUCUCCCACUCCCCGGCCCCCCACCCCUCGCUCUCGUUCCCCGAGGGGAUGGAGCGCCUCUCCAGCGCCUACGCCGCCGCCCUGGCCGCCACCAUGAGCACCAACAAGAGGCUGGGGUCCCCCGCACCCCCCUGCACCCCUCCCGAGGAGCGCCCCCCGCCCCAGCGCCGCGCCCGAGAGAGAGACCGGCGGCAGAGGGACGACAGCGGGAUGGAGGGCCUGCUGGACGCAGCCAAGAGGGGGCGCCGGACAGCCAGCCCCGACAGCGCCGGACCUGCUGGCCCGCGGAGAGAGAGGUUCAGUGAAGCCCCCCUCUCUCUGCGAUGCCCACUGUGUCAGACUGACCUCGCCCGAGCCGAGCUCCUGGACCACCUGCGCAGUGAACUGGAACACAUGGACUCACUGCCAGCCAGGUACAGGGGAGAAGGGCAGACGUGAACUUUGUCCUUCACUGCCUUACUGACCUCCCAAACAGUGACAUACCCUGCCACAAUUCUCAUUUUCCCCACUCCUGUCAUUCAUUAAUGUAUUCAUUACAGCACCUAUGCUAUUAUGUCUUAUUUUAACUCCCAGUACAUGCAUCCUGUUAGAAAAGCAAAUUUGAGUUUCAAAUUGAGACGGACAGAGGGACAGAGGAAUAUACUUUUCUGGCCAUAGAAACUGGAAACAGACAGACCUGAAUGUCCAGAGAGUACAUGUUGUCCACCCACUGCCAGUGGGGACAAGUGGAGACAGAGGUGCACUUUCUGCUGCAGUGUGAGAAAUACUCUGUGAUAAGACAAACAUUCUUCUUUAAAUUUUAAAAAUCUAAUCCCUGAAUUCCCAAACAUACUAGAAUCAGCUCCCAGUCCUAGAGAAUGGGCCUUGCAUAAACCUUGUUUGAAAGGUGUACGAUUUAUUAAACAUGUGUGAUCUAUCAGGUUUAUAAUUCAGUGUUGAACUUACUGUACCACUCUGUCACUUCAGCCUCUCUCAGUCAGAGCACCUCCAGGAGCUGCAGGGCUGUGAUCAGGUAAGUGAGGGUAUUUUAGUGCACAGCAGUGCAGUAUGAAAGAGUGCAGUGUGAAACAGAGUAGUACAGUGUGCAACAGUGCAGUGUGAAACAGUGCAGUACAGUGUGCAACAGUACAUCAAAGUGCAGUGCAGUGUGAAACAGUGCAGUACAGUGUGCAACAGUGCAGUGUGAAAGAGUGCAGUGCAGUGUGAAACAGAGCAGUACAUUGUGCAACAGUGCAGUAUGAAAGAGUGCGAUACAGUGUGAAACUGCAGUUUGAAACAAUGCAACGUGAAACAGUGCAAUGCAGUGUGCAACAGUGUGUAAAAGUGCAGUGCAGUGUGAAAGAGUGAUACAGUGUGAAACAGUACAGUAUGAAGCGAUGCAGUGUG